Molecule: ribosomal RNA, 253 nt
Filed under: uncultured bacterium
Lineage: Bacteria
Description: partial 16S ribosomal RNA
Rfam family: Bacterial small subunit ribosomal RNA
Source: RNAcentral
UACAGAGGGUGCGAGCGUUAAUCGGAAUUACUGGGCGUAAAGCGUGCGUAGACGGCUAUCUAAGUCGGGUGUGAAAGCCCCGGGCUCAACCUGGGAAUUGCAUUCGAGACUGAAUAGCUAGGGUGCGGUAGAGGGAAGCGGAAUUUCCGGUGUAGCGGUGAAAUGCGUAGGUAUCGGAAGGAACAUCAGUGGCGAAAGCGGCUUCCUGGACCAGCACCGACGUUCAGGCACGAAAGCGUGGGGAGCAAACAGG